This 689-nucleotide ribosomal RNA is filed under the name uncultured organism. Its description in RNAcentral is "bacterial SSU rRNA". It matches the Rfam family "Bacterial small subunit ribosomal RNA", at positions 106 to 830 of the family's 1533-position model. The record is from RNAcentral.
GUGAGUAACGCGUGAGAAUCUGCCUUGAGGAGGGGGAUAACCACUGGAAACGGUGGCUAAUACCCCAUAUGCCUCCGGGUGAAAAGUUAUUCGCCUGAAGAUGAGCUCGCGUCUGAUUAGCUAGUUGGUGGGGUAAGAGCCUACCAAGGCGACGAUCUGUAGCUGGUCUGAUAGGAUGAUCAGCCACACUGGGACUGAGACACGGCCCAGACUCCUACGGGAGGCAGCAGUGGGGAAUUUUCCGCAAUGGGCGCAAGCCUGACGGAGCAAGACCGCGUGGGGGAUGGCGGCUCUAGGGUUGUAAACCUCUUUUCUCUGGGAAGAAGAUUGAACGUACCCUAAGAAUCCGCCUCCGCUAACUNCGUGCCAGCAGCCGCGGUAAUACGGAGGAGGCAAGCGUAUCCGGGAAUUAUUGGGCGUAAAGCGUCCGUAGGUGGUUAUUCAAGUCUGCUGUCAAAGCGUGGGGCUUAACUCCAUAGAGGCAGUGGAAACUGAAUAACUAGAGUGCGGUAGGGGUCGAGGGAAUUCCCAGUGUAGCGGUGAAAUGCGUAGAUAUUGGGAAGAACAUCAGUGGCGAAAGCGCUCGACUGGACGUCCACUGACACUGAGGGACGAAAGCUAGGGGAGCGAAAGGGAUUAGAUACCCCUGUAGUCCUAGCUGUAAACGAUGGAUACUAGGUGUUGCUUGU